This is a small nuclear RNA of Nerophis ophidion (straightnose pipefish), 141 nucleotides long. RefSeq annotates it as U4 spliceosomal RNA. The record is from RefSeq and is a predicted model, not a curated record. Lineage: Eukaryota; Metazoa; Chordata; Actinopteri; Syngnathiformes; Syngnathidae. The transcript has a single exon.
AUUUAUGAGCAGUGGCAGUAUCAUAACUCAUGAGGUUAAUCCGAGGUGUGAAAAUUGCUAAUUGAAAGCUUUACCCAAUACCCUGCCUUGAUGACUUGAAGCAUAGUCAGAUAUGGCAAUCUUCGGUAGUCUCUAUUAAGA